UGCCCUUGAGCUUUGGUGUCCUCUGAGUUGUUCAGCUCUGGAUUUCGGAGGUAAAUGGUACAGAAGUGCUGGGAGCGAACUGGAGCUGGUGGAACAAGCCCAUGUUGGGAUUAACCCACUGCCAAAAGACCACUGUGUUUCCUGCUGUGCCUCCAGGAGCCCCGUUGGGUGGUUCUCCGGAAGGCUGAAGAGGAGAGGUUGAUGCAUUUCUACAGGCCAGACCUCUGACAUCCCUGCUCCCGUUCAACUUUACCUGC
Molecule: long non-coding RNA, 257 nt
Filed under: Calidris pugnax (ruff)
Lineage: Eukaryota; Metazoa; Chordata; Aves; Charadriiformes; Scolopacidae
Description: lncRNA (ENSCPUG00000011775.1)
Source: RNAcentral